CCCUUGUCAGGUUGCUGGGUAUUGGAAACUGCCUUGAGCCGUGAAUCCAGAGGCUCACAUAACACUCAAUACCACCUAUGCAUGCCAGUUACCGCUCUUGGCUACAGAAGGGGACAAAACUGCAUACUCUUGAGGAAUUACAGAACCCGCCUUCCGUCGCAGAAUACAAAGCAGUCACAAGCUUAGCACGCC
This is a non-coding RNA of Arvicanthis niloticus (Nile rat), 192 nucleotides long. Lineage: Eukaryota; Metazoa; Chordata; Mammalia; Rodentia; Muridae. The record is from RefSeq and is a predicted model, not a curated record.